GAGUUGUAGAUAGGUGUGAGCUGUCAUGUGGGUGGGUGCUGGGUCCCGGUGCUCUUAGCUGCUGAGCUAUCUCUCCAGACUCCAUCCUGACUUUCUUUUUUCUCUAGGGAUAUAGAAUUCACUCGCUCCCGGCACUUUCACUUCCUCCAUUUGGGACUAGGUUAGAGAGCAUCUCUGGGUGCUGCCAUAGUUAGUGGGAGCCAUGGCCUCCAGCAGGGAUGAGCCCUGGCACUCAUCAGCAUGAGUAAAGCAAACGCUUGCAGACUGACACCUGGAUGGAUAAAGGAACCAGUUCCUGUCACAAGAGUGGAAGCUAAGCAAGCCUUCAGCCUGUUUCCAGAGCCUAUGAAAGACGGAGGCACAGGGACUGAAGGAUCGGAGUUAAGGUUUCACCUUCGAGGGUUCUCCAGCCCUACCCACCAGCUGCGAUUGAGAUGGGCGCAGCUCAAGGCUCCAGUUUGAGACACUCCACUGCCUGGGCUCAGGAGCUCAAGAUCGAGAGGAUUUUGUUGAGCGCCCGCCUGAGUGUACCUCCACUUCCCUGCACAAAGGCAGCAAGAGCUACUGGUCUGAGGGUCAGCGGGGGCGCGCCUGCCACCACCACCACCAACUGAGGCUCUCUCCUAAAAUGACACUCACACCCGUUCUCCACCAAGUUUCUCUGGGCCUUGUCCUACCUCACAACCU
This 687-nucleotide long non-coding RNA is filed under the name Mus caroli (Ryukyu mouse). Its description in RNAcentral is "lncRNA (MGP_CAROLIEiJ_G0002714.1)". The record is from RNAcentral. Lineage: Eukaryota; Metazoa; Chordata; Mammalia; Rodentia; Muridae.